Molecule: ribosomal RNA, 1348 nt
Filed under: Escherichia coli O26:H11
Lineage: Bacteria; Pseudomonadati; Pseudomonadota; Gammaproteobacteria; Enterobacterales; Enterobacteriaceae
Description: bacterial LSU rRNA
Rfam family: Bacterial large subunit ribosomal RNA
Source: RNAcentral
AUCCGGAAAAUCAAGGCUGAGGCGUGAUGACGAGGCACUGCGGUGCUGAAGCAACAAAUGCCCUGCUUCCAGGAAAAGCCUCUAAGCAUCAGGUAACAUCAAAUCGUACCCCAAACCGACACAGGUGGUCAGGUAGAGAAUACCAAGGCGCUUGAGAGAACUCGGGUGAAGGAACUAGGCAAAAUGGUGCCGUAACUUCGGGAGAAGGCACGCUGAUAUGUAGGUGAAGUCCCUCGCGGAUGGAGCUGAAAUCAGUCGAAGAUACCAGCUGGCUGCAACUGUUUAUUAAAAACACAGCACUGUGCAAACACGAAAGUGGACGUAUACGGUGUGACGCCUGCCCGGUGCCGGAAGGUUAAUUGAUGGGGUUAGCGCAAGCGAAGCUCUUGAUCGAAGCCCCGGUAAACGGCGGCCGUAACUAUAACGGUCCUAAGGUAGCGAAAUUCCUUGUCGGGUAAGUUCCGACCUGCACGAAUGGCGUAAUGAUGGCCAGGCUGUCUCCACCCGAGACUCAGUGAAAUUGAACUCGCUGUGAAGAUGCAGUGUACCCGCGGCAAGACGGAAAGACCCCGUGAACCUUUACUAUAGCUUGACACUGAACAUUGAGCCUUGAUGUGUAGGAUAGGUGGGAGGCUUUGAAGUGUGGACGCCAGUCUGCAUGGAGCCGACCUUGAAAUACCACCCUUUAAUGUUUGAUGUUCUAACGUUGACCCGUAAUCCGGGUUGCGGACAGUGUCUGGUGGGUAGUUUGACUGGGGCGGUCUCCUCCUAAAGAGUAACGGAGGAGCACGAAGGUUGGCUAAUCCUGGUCGGACAUCAGGAGGUUAGUGCAAUGGCAUAAGCCAGCUUGACUGCGAGCGUGACGGCGCGAGCAGGUGCGAAAGCAGGUCAUAGUGAUCCGGUGGUUCUGAAUGGAAGGGCCAUCGCUCAACGGAUAAAAGGUACUCCGGGGAUAACAGGCUGAUACCGCCCAAGAGUUCAUAUCGACGGCGGUGUUUGGCACCUCGAUGUCGGCUCAUCACAUCCUGGGGCUGAAGUAGGUCCCAAGGGUAUGGCUGUUCGCCAUUUAAAGUGGUACGCGAGCUGGGUUUAGAACGUCGUGAGACAGUUCGGUCCCUAUCUGCCGUGGGCGCUGGAGAACUGAGGGGGGCUGCUCCUAGUACGAGAGGACCGGAGUGGACGCAUCACUGGUGUUCGGGUUGUCAUGCCAAUGGCACUGCCCGGUAGCUAAAUGCGGAAGAGAUAAGUGCUGAAAGCAUCUAAGCACGAAACUUGCCCCGAGAUGAGUUCUCCCUGACUCCUUGAGAGUCCUGAAGGAACGUUGAAGACGACGACGUUGAUAGGCCGG